GCCUGUGCUGACCAAUCGCCACCCCCUCCAGUGAAGCUGGAUGGUGCGCCUGGAUGGGUGGGAGUGCAUGGUUGGGUCAAGAUGAACCAGCGCAUUCUGGCUUUGAAGCCCAGUCUGGAGAGUGGAGGCCAGGGCGCUGCAGGGAGCCACGCGGGAGGAUGGCGUGACCUGCACAGGAGGGACGGCCCUGCCUGGGCACGGUGAGGGAGGUGGAGGAGUGAGAGACUGUGCCCAGAUGUCCAGCUGGAGUAACCUGGCAGAUGGUGGAGCUGUUCAGAGGCGGACGCACACCUGUCUGCAGCCCCCAGGAGACACAGCCGGAGCUGAGAGCCUGGUUAACCCUUCGCUAUACUGAAACAUCUUCCAUCGAGGCAGGCCGAGAGGGGUGGACAUCAUCACUCUGUUUAAUAGACGGGAACGGGUGCUCAGAAGGGUUAAGUCGCUUGCUUGGGAGCGCCGAGCUGCGGUUUGGACCAGGUCUGUUCGCCUCGUGGGUUCCAACUCCUGUGCAGGACGUUCAGUGACCAAGCACGUGGGCUUCCGAGUCUGCCGGCCUUGCUGCGAAGUUUGCCUGUGACUUUGCAUCUCUUUGGACAAUCCGUUUCCAGCUCUGAAAAAUGAGGGAAAUACCAGUCAGCUCUUCUCAAGGUUGUCGUGAGGAUUAAGUGAAGAAAUGGACGCGAAGCCUUGACGGAGUGCAUGUCUUUAUCUGCCCAGCUGCCUGGGUCUGGGAAUGAGUUUUCCAUGAAGAUUUUCUUUGAAUAGAGGGGAAAUGUCCAGACAAAAUGUGGAGGUUUUUACCUCCUCCUCGGGAUGAUGACAUCGCAAUGACUUUUAAAGCUAAAUUUUCCUCGAAAAGAGAAAGUAGCUCGGUCGCUGCUGGUGUGAGCAGUGGCCUCUCUCCUCCGUGGUCUCGGCUGGCAGCUGAGGGGCCUGCGUCAGCCCCCGCCCAUCUUGCCUUCCUCGGGCAGCAGAUCUCUGACACGGCACACCGGCAAGCCACCAGGAGAAUCCGGAGAGCGAUGAACCUGACCCGCGCCUACAAGGCUUAAAGAUAUGGUAAUGCAAUUAGCAGCCUCGGCAGCCUAAUGAAGGCUCUCUGAAAUGCUGAUAAAACACCACUGAAGAAAAAUGCUUAAGAGCCUCUUCAAACUUUCCAAAAUGUGAAGUGUGUCCUUACGGAGAAAAUGGCAAUCUAGUCUCCUUUCUCCAAGGUUCGAGAUUAAUUAGGGGCUUAUUUAGUGCAUGAAUGAGGAAACAAAUGAACUCUGGGAUCGCAAAGCAUUGAAACCAAUUUUUUAAUCUUUUUUUUACAAUUACAUCCGUAUCAUAAAAGUCUUCAUUAGACGUUGUCACCAGUGCAUAUUGUGCCGGAAAGUGUCGCCAUCCUGGGCUUUUGACGAGACCGCAUUUGCUUCCCAUGAAAGGGGCUCUUCUAACAAAGCCUUCUCUUUCUUCCUAACGGCAAACGGCUGGGGCUUGGAUGGCUAGUCCAGGCCAGGGGGAAAUUCAUCUCCCGCCUUGCCCUCCUCAAGCUGAGUUCACCUGUAAACAUGGUUUCUUCCCAAACAGGACAGACGGACGAGGGGCUGGGUGAAUGGACCGGGCUCCCUGCAUGGCACAUGCAUUUAUUCAGCCAGUUGUGAUGACAAGACGGGUGUGGGCAGAGACGGGAGCCCUGCGUAUCUCUUUCUGCCCCUCCCCACAAACAACCACUGAGUGGAAGCCAGUCCAAACAGCCGCCCUGCUGCCAUCCGCAGAUCUGUGCCUUUCAUUUGGCCAGCAGUCACUGGGCACCCACCAGCGCUGCGUACUGCUAGGUGCCGGAAGUACGGCAGUGAGUCAAACCCACAUUCUUCUGCUCAUGGACCUCUAGACUAGGGUUGAUGGCCUUGAUAUCUGCAAGUGACCUGGAUCGUUUCUGGUUCUGGUCUGCCUGCGCUGGGAUUCCACAGCAGACACCAUCUUUAUCUCUUGGAUGUGUCUAUACAGCUGAGCAACAUGACGGGUUGCAUGAACACCUAAUGCUAAGCUGACCUCUGGUAAAUCUUUCACCUGCCUGUGCCUCUCCUCUUCAUCCAUGGAUUGGGGACACGACUACCUGUGACUGCCGUGUCACACUGUGGUGGACGGAUUCUCGGAGGCAUGAUGUCUCCUCCUGGUGUUCAUGCCCCUUGAGUGGGGGUGGAACCCGUGACUGACAGGAUGUGUGUGAGUAUGCUACAGAAGAUUAUAGUGCCAUCUAGCAAGGAAACCCUCCCUUGCUGGCUUUGAGGAAGCAAGUUGCCAUGUUGUGAGUUGCCUUUGGAGGGUCCAUGAGCCAAGGAGCUGAGAGUGGCCUCCAGCUGACAGCCAGCAAGAAACUGAGACCCUCAGUCCAACAGUCCACAGAGCGCUGAAUUCUGCCAACAACCACAGGAGUUUGGAAGCAGAUCCUUCCCUGAUCCAGCUUCAGAUGAGACUGCAGCCCUGACCUUGAUGGCAGCCUCAUGAAACCCUGAGCUGAAGGACCCAGACCAGCUGUGCCAAGACUCCUGACCCACAGAAACCGUGGGGUAGUACACGUGUGUUGUUUCAAGCUCAUAAGCUUUGUGGAAAUUUGUUACGCAGCUGUAGGAAACUAGUAAGCCCAGAGCUCCCUGUCCGUGACAGACGUGAAGCUGGAAGGAGCUGGUGGCUUUCAGAGUCCGGGAGCUACGCAGCAGCUCAGCCACCAGAUGACAACUGGAGAUUCAGAAAGAGUUGUGCCAGGCUGGCUGGGUGCAGGAGCCCCUUCCUCAUGGUGAGCCAGGCCAAACUUGGGGGCUGGGGGCUUCAGUGAGUCCCCCAUGACCUAACCUGGGCCUUCUGACAUAGGGGAUUCAUCCCAGAGGGUCUGUGUCCACUCUGGGACCCCCACACCCCUGACACUGACUUCCAGAAAGUGGAAGACAACCAUGGAAGGAAUAGCUGCACAUUUCACCUCUCCUCUUUCCUCCUUUGAAAAUGGGUAGUCAUUGACCAGGCUCAUUACAGAGGGUUUUACACCCAGCAGACAGGAAUCCCUUCUGGGAGCUUUCUGGGAGGGAGUUGGUCCUGUGUCAAGUGCUUGAGAUCAAAUCCCAGCUCUGCCGCUUGUCGCUGUGUGAGCCUGGGCCAGUACCGAACCUCUCUGAGCUUUAGCUUCCUGCUGUCUCUUAACCAUGACACCAUCUUGAAAUGAGAAUCACCAGUAAAUCUGAGGUCCAGGGUCAGUGGCAUCUGUCCUACACGAAGGGUGCUCUCAGGGCAGACGCCUCCCUCUCCCUCUUUAUCCUCCUCCUCAAUUUAAUCCGUUC
Molecule: long non-coding RNA, 3317 nt
Filed under: Equus caballus (horse)
Lineage: Eukaryota; Metazoa; Chordata; Mammalia; Perissodactyla; Equidae
Description: lncRNA (ENSECAG00000056223.1)
Source: RNAcentral